RNAcentral lists this ribosomal RNA (465 nucleotides) under uncultured bacterium. RNAcentral's name for it is "partial 16S ribosomal RNA". It matches the Rfam family "Bacterial small subunit ribosomal RNA", at positions 329 to 792 of the family's 1533-position model. The record is from RNAcentral.
GGCCAGACUCCUACGGGAGGCAGCAGUGGGGAAUAUUGGUCAAUGGGCUAAGGCCUGAACCAGCCAAGUCGCGUGAGGGAAGACGGUCCUAUGGAUUGUAAACCUCUUUUGUCGGGGAGCAACGAGGCCACGUGUGGCCGAAGUGAGAGUACCCGAAGAAAAAGCAUCGGCUAACUCCGUGCCAGCAGCCGCGGUAAUACGGAGGAUGCGAGCGUUAUCCGGAUUUAUUGGGUUUAAAGGGUGCGUAGGCGGAACAUUAAGUCAGCGGUAAAAUCGAGGGGCUCAACCCCUUUAAGCCGUUGAAACUGGUGAUCUUGAGUGGGCGAGAAGUAUGCGGAAUGCGUGGUGUAGCGGUGAAAUGCAUAGAUAUCAGGAGGAACACCGGCGGCGAAGGCGGCCUGCUGGACCGUGACUGACGUUGAGGCUCGAGAGCGUGGGGAGCAAACAGGAUUAGAUACCCUGGUA